UUGAUUUUAGUUAGUUUGUGAAGGUACUACGAAUUGACAACAAAAUAUCUAUAGUCAAAACAAAAUAAAUCA
Molecule: unclassified non-coding RNA, 72 nt
Filed under: soil metagenome
Description: partial internal transcribed spacer 1
Source: RNAcentral